GUGAACGCUGGCGGCGUGCUUAACACAUGCAAGGCGAACGAUGAUGGAGAGCUUGCUCUCCUGAUUAGUGGCGCACGGGUGAGUAUACCAUAGAUAAUGUACCUCUUAGUUUGGGAUAGCCACUGGAAACGGUGAUUAAUACCAGAUACUCCUUCUCGUUAUAAGACGAGUCGGGAAAGUUUUUUCGCUAAGAGAUCAGUCUAUGUCCUAUCAGCUAGUUGGUGAGGUAAUGGCUCACCAAGGCUAUGACGGGUAUCUUGUUUGAUAGGAUGAUCAGACACACUGGAACUGAGACACGUUCCAGACUCCUACGGGAGGCAGCAGUGAGGAAUAUUGCACAAUGGAGGAAACUCUGAUGCAGCAACGCCGCGUGGAGGAUGACGCAUUUCGGUGUGUAAACUCCUUUUAAGAGGGAAGAUAAUGACGGUACCUCUUGAAUAAGCACCGGCUCCCUCCGU
Molecule: ribosomal RNA, 458 nt
Filed under: uncultured bacterium
Lineage: Bacteria
Description: bacterial SSU rRNA
Rfam family: Bacterial small subunit ribosomal RNA
Source: RNAcentral